CGUAUCCUACGGGGGGCAGCAGUGAGGAAUAUUGGUCAAUGGUCGGGAGACUGAACCAGCCAAGCCGCGUGAGGGAGGAAGGUACAGAGUAUCGUAAACCUCUUUUGUCAGGGAACAAAGACUGGGACGCGCCCCCGGAUGAGUGUACCUGAAGAAAAAGCAUCGGCUAACUCCGUGCCAGCAGCCGCGGUAAUACGGAGGAUGCGAGCGUUAUCCGGAUUUAUUGGGUUUAAAGGGUGCGCAGGCGGUCUGUUAAGUCAGCGGUCAAAGCCCGGGGCUCAACCCCGGCCCGCCGUUGAAACUGG
RNAcentral lists this ribosomal RNA (305 nucleotides) under uncultured bacterium. RNAcentral describes it as "bacterial SSU rRNA". It matches the Rfam family "Bacterial small subunit ribosomal RNA", at positions 333 to 636 of the family's 1533-position model. The record is from RNAcentral.